UUUUUUGUUUACAAACUUGAUGAAAUUAUUUUUGAUUAAAAUUUUCUGUUUAAAUAAUUAAAAUGUUUGAAUAUAGCUGCAAUAAUGCCUCCAAUUUGAAUAAGACUUGCCGCGGGUGUCUUAAAGUUGGUGACGAGGUGCGGAUCAUGACUACUGAGGAACAAAAUGUGUAUUUAAAAUUUAUAGAGGUAUCUAAUGAAGAUUUAACUAUGUAUGUUUGUCUUCUAUGUGCUCAUUUGCUAAGGAAACUCGGCAAGUUCUUGAUUCAGUGCCAGGAAUCUUACAAUGUUUUGAAUAACUUUCUGCUAAAGGAAUCUAAACCGCACAACUACAUUCCACCGUUCCUGGCGUUCAAUCUAGUCACAACGCAACCUGAAAUAAACGAGUUUCAGAACAAUGUAGCAUUGUUGUAUGAUUUCACACCGGACAUGGUAACGUUUGACGAUGGGCCAAUUUUUGACGAUGAAGAUAUACCGCUAGUGCUGUUGAAAAAGGAAGA
Long non-coding RNA from Ostrinia nubilalis (European corn borer), 499 nucleotides. RefSeq lists it as uncharacterized. The record is from RefSeq and is a predicted model, not a curated record. NCBI's taxonomy places the organism in Eukaryota, Metazoa, Arthropoda, Insecta, Lepidoptera, Crambidae. The transcript is spliced from 3 exons.